CCUACGGGGGGCAGCAGUGGGGAAUAUUGCACAAUGGGCGCAAGCCUGAUGCAGCCAUGCCGCGUGUGUGAAGAAGGCCUUCGGGUUGUAAAGCACUUUCAGCGGGGAGGAAGGCGGUGAGGUUAAUAACCUCAUCGAUUGACGUUACCCGCAGAAGAAGCACCGGCUAACUCCGUGCCAGCAGCCGCGGUAAUACGGAGGGUGCAAGCGUUAAUCGGAAUUACUGGGCGUAAGCGCACGCAGGCGGUCUGUCAAGUCGGAUGUGAAAUCCCCGGGCUCAACCUGGGAACUGCAUUCGAAACUGGCAGGCUAGAGUCUUGUAGAGGGGGGUAGAAUUCCAGGUGUAGCGGUGAAAUGCGUAGAGAUCUGGAGGAAUACCGGUGGCGAAGGCGGCCCCCUGGACAAAGACUGACGCUCAGGUGCGAAAGCGUGGGGAGCAAACAGGAUUAGAUACCCGAGUAGUC
Molecule: ribosomal RNA, 464 nt
Filed under: uncultured Klebsiella sp.
Lineage: Bacteria; Pseudomonadati; Pseudomonadota; Gammaproteobacteria; Enterobacterales; Enterobacteriaceae
Description: bacterial SSU rRNA
Rfam family: Bacterial small subunit ribosomal RNA
Source: RNAcentral